AAUACAUGUACCUCAAUAAUUUUAUCAAGGGCAUGUUUUGUGCUAGAUACUACUCUUUAUGUUAGGAAUAUAAGCAAUUGUAUAAGAUACUUACAGAUUGCAGUAAGUGGUAAAAAAUAUAACAUGAAGAGGGAAUAGUGAUGAGAAGGUAACUAUAUAGGGGAGUGGUCAGGGAGUGCUUCACUGAAGAUGUAAAAUAUGAACUGAAACCUAUAUCCUGAUUUAAAAUAGCUUUGCAGAUGUUUUAGGUAAAUAGCAGCAAGCGAACAAUACCAAAGAGGGAAUCAGAGCUAUUUCCAUGAAUUAAUGUCUUAAUCCCCACAACAAUGAGGUCGUGGUCAUCUAGUUGUAGAAUGACUCCUGCCUGCUACAUUUCCCCAGAUACCCAGGACCUUCAUGCUGUCACUCUCCAUGACCUGACCAACAUCUAUUUUGAGAAAUUAUUUUAUAUACUCAUUCAAACAGUCAUCUUUUGUGUCCAGAGUUGGUUCCUUCUGGUGGGUUCGUGGUCUCGCUAACUUCAAGAAUGGAGCCACGGACCUUCGCGACACUUCUAUUUAAACUUCUUGGAAGGAUAUCUCAAUAACAUUCCUUUGCUGAGGACCAUAAGAUAGAAGAUGAGAAUCCAUCUGCCCUCUUCUCUGCACCCAGGCUUCAAUCCUGUUUGAUCAUGCAGGGGCUACAAGGCCUUCGACACAAAGAACUUGUCUUAGAUUCUAAUCAGUUUAACAAAUAGGACAGACAGCUGCUGAGCACUGUCUGAGUGACACUGAUUUACAUACAAAUGAACCACCAAUGUCCCCUUCUAUCAACUCAGAAUAAAAUCUGGUUUUAGCAUAUGCAGUCCUACGAGACAUGGUUAAAGGAUAUGAAUGAUAGAUAGAGAUAAAAGAAAUCAAGGACCAUUCCUCCACAAGUCUCCAAAGAGGAAAACAACAAUCGAAGAAAAAAGAGUGAGAGAACA
RNAcentral lists this long non-coding RNA (964 nucleotides) under Homo sapiens (human). RNAcentral describes it as "HSALNT0314032". Lineage: Eukaryota; Metazoa; Chordata; Mammalia; Primates; Hominidae. The record is from RNAcentral.